CCUACGGGAGGCAGCAGUGAGGAAUAUUGGUCAAUGGACGAGAGUCUGAACCAGCCAAGUAGCGUGAAGGAUGACUGCCCUAUGGGUUGUAAACUUCUUUUAUAAAGGAAUAAAACGAGGCACGUGUGCCUUUUUGCAUGUACUUUAUGAAUAAGGAUAGGCUAACUCCGUGCCAGCAGCCGCGGUAAUACGGAGGAUCCGAGCGUUAUCCGGAUUUAUUGGGUUUAAAGGGACCGUAGAUGGGUUGUUAAGUCAGUUGUGAAAGUUUGCAGCUCAACCGUAAAAUUGCAAUUGAUACUGGCAGUCGUGAGUACAGUUGAGGUAGGUGGAAUUCGUGGUGUAGCGGUGAAAUGCUGAGAUAUCACGAAGAACCCCGAUUGCGAAGGCAGCUUACUAAACUGUGACUGACAUUGAUGCUCGAAAGUGUGGGUAUCAAACAGGAUUAGAUACCCCAGUAGUC
Molecule: ribosomal RNA, 460 nt
Filed under: uncultured bacterium
Lineage: Bacteria
Description: partial 16S ribosomal RNA
Rfam family: Bacterial small subunit ribosomal RNA
Source: RNAcentral